RNAcentral lists this non-coding RNA (45 nucleotides) under Schistosoma mansoni. The record is from RNAcentral. RNAcentral also lists the same sequence under 1 other name. Lineage: Eukaryota; Metazoa; Platyhelminthes; Trematoda; Strigeidida; Schistosomatidae.
AUCCAGCUGACGAGUCUCAAAUAGGAUGAAACGCACGUCCUGGAU